GUGAAUCAUCGAAUUUUUGAACGCAAAUUGCACUCUCCGGUUUUCCGGGAGAUUAUGCUUGUUUGAGGGUCUUCCUAAAUAAAAUCGGCUUAGUAUUUUGCUGUGUUUUUCACGGUAACGUUGGUCGGAAUUUGUGUCAUCUUAAAUCGAAAGUUUUUUAAGCGACUUAAAAUUUUCUUACUAUCUCUCGAACGUUUCUAAGAUUUUCUUUCACGUUCAAGGUAUCUAUAUUAGACGUGACAGUUGUAUCGGUUCGCGUCCAU
RNAcentral lists this unclassified non-coding RNA (263 nucleotides) under Glomus sp. RNAcentral describes it as "partial contains 5.8S ribosomal RNA and internal transcribed spacer 2". The stretch from base 1 to 72 matches the Rfam family "5.8S ribosomal RNA", at positions 84 to 154 of the family's 154-position model. The record is from RNAcentral. Lineage: Eukaryota; Fungi; Glomeromycota; Glomeromycetes; Glomerales; Glomeraceae.